RNAcentral lists this ribosomal RNA (288 nucleotides) under Pseudomonas sp. Le4-4. RNAcentral describes it as "partial 16S ribosomal RNA". It matches the Rfam family "Bacterial small subunit ribosomal RNA", at positions 114 to 405 of the family's 1533-position model. Lineage: Bacteria; Pseudomonadati; Pseudomonadota; Gammaproteobacteria; Pseudomonadales; Pseudomonadaceae. The record is from RNAcentral.
UGCCUAGGAAUCUGCCUGGUAGUGGGGGACAACGUUUCGAAAGGAACGCUAAUACCGCAUACGUCCUACGGGANAAAGCAGGGGACCUUCGGGCCUUGCGCUAUCAGAUGANCCUAGGUCGGAUUAGCUAGUAGGUGAGGUAAUGGCUCACCUAGGCGACGAUCCGUAACUGGUCUGAGAGGAUGAUCAGUCACACUGGANCUGAGACACGGUCCAGACUCCUACGGGAGGCAGCAGUGGGGAAUAUUGGACAAUGGGCGAAAGCCUGAUCCAGCCAUGCCGCGUGUG